GACCUCCUCACUUCGUGUCGGGCCCCCUCGGAGCUCUCGGCUCUCUGGGCCGUUCUUUGAAGGCAGCCGAUCUUGUCCUCGCUGCGAUCCGACCGCUCAGGCCCAAGCUGCCUGUCCUAUUUCUGGCGUCUCCAUUCAAAGGACGGUGAAGCCUCUAGAAAUGUUUUGUAACCCAGUUUACAUUCGCUUCACCUUUUUCUUUACCUAUUAAAUGUGAACGUGAUUUAAUCGAAAAACAACUCUGUAAAAGAAGCGGGGUGGGCCCUCGCGGCUUUGCGCCACCUUGCGCGGUGGAUCCGCGUGAUCUGCUGCAGUUGUAACGCUAGCUUGGCGGUGGGUCGCUGAUUCCCUUUUUGUGCUGAACGUCACCCUAAAGGCGCUGCGAAGCGCUGACACGCGUCAUCUUGGCCUCCAACCCUCUGCUGGAUCCCCGGGGAACCCUAAAGAUCCUGAAGAAGCCGCUGAAGACCCAAGGUUCCCCGGGUGAAGAUUUGCCCUCGGAACACAGCAUGUCUGCCUUGUGUAGGUCUUCAGUCCAGUUCCUGGACCAGCAUGCGAGUGAUGCCCAGGCCGCACCAGCCAUGCAGCCUAUACAGGCUAAAGAGUUAGCAAGGAGAGAAGAAAAGAAAGCACCGUUUACUCAGCCUCUUCCCAGAGAUCCUGGGCCGGGCUGCAGGAAACACCCAUCCAUCUCAUGAUGCGAGUUGAAUCCUCCUCCGGCGGCCUCGGGUUGAAGAUCUCCUCCAGGUAUUGUUCCAGCAGCACCGCUGGCCUGGGAGCACUUGGCACGAUGUGGCUCACAACAAAUAAAAUUCAGGCCAGCAGCUUUUAAAUGUGGUGUUUUCAAAAUUGCAUUUUAUUGAUUUCUUUUUAUUGUAGAAGCAGAAUAUAUUUCUGCAGGAAAUUAGAGAAGACAAGUAAGGGAA
RNAcentral lists this long non-coding RNA (926 nucleotides) under Fukomys damarensis (Damara mole-rat). RNAcentral's name for it is "lncRNA (ENSFDAG00000031235.1)". Lineage: Eukaryota; Metazoa; Chordata; Mammalia; Rodentia; Bathyergidae. The record is from RNAcentral.